This is a long non-coding RNA of Cheilinus undulatus (humphead wrasse), 552 nucleotides long. RefSeq lists it as uncharacterized. The transcript has 4 exons. NCBI's taxonomy places the organism in Eukaryota, Metazoa, Chordata, Actinopteri, Labriformes, Labridae. The record is from RefSeq and is a predicted model, not a curated record.
GCAUCAACGCAAAGAAGCAAAAUUAGAUGGGUAGCAGAAAUCGACUGAACACUGUCCUCCACCUGACGAAGGCGUCUUACAGUGAAGUAGAUGCUGAAAGAUCACGUCCUUCACUUGAGCAUCUCCGUCCUGCAAAUGAUGCACAUCAAAGCUCCCAGAUUGUUUGGAAACAGGACAAGAAGAUCACGUUAAUGUUCUUUUUCCACCUUGUUUAAAAAGCAGACAGGAGGAAGCCUUAAAGACUCAGGACCAGGAAUACCAACGGAGGGCAAAGAGACAGGAUGUCAGCUAGAAUUCAAGAAAUUGCUUUCUUCAUCCUUGGUAACGAUGGCACUCUCCAAUGCAUUGACUGCCGUUUGUCUCAGGAUUGUAUCUGAAGAUCCAAGUUUCAUCGCAUGUAAUCCCAUCUUCUUAAUCAUUUGGAUUUCCUUCAGUUGGUUCCACAAAUUUGCUUGUGUUUUUCCUUUUGAUUAGGAGUCAAAAGUUUUGAGACACCUUUGGCACACACUUUGGCCAUGUUAAAAUUUUCAGGAAAAUUUGCUGAACUUUCCC